RNAcentral lists this long non-coding RNA (469 nucleotides) under Cricetulus griseus (Chinese hamster). Its description in RNAcentral is "lncRNA (ENSCGRG00015030059.1)". Lineage: Eukaryota; Metazoa; Chordata; Mammalia; Rodentia; Cricetidae. The record is from RNAcentral.
AUUAAGCUAUUUGUGCCACUGAGCCUUGUCUUCCCUGACUCUGACCUGCCUGGCCUAUUAUGGCUCAGAGGGGCCAUCUAACUCAGUAAAUUACAUUUGGAACCAUUGUCUCCUCACCUCACCCUCUUACAGCGCAAGGACUUGCCCAGAACCCUACUGACUCAGACUGGGCAUCAAACUUGAGGCUCAAUUCCAGGCUAGAACCCUCCCAUAGGCUGGGUAGGGACUCACGCUGGGCUCCUGGCAUUCCUCCUGCCUCAGCCACCCAUAUGCUAGGAUUAGAGGUGUAAGCCACCUCUCCCACAAGACAUUUCUCUAGCAGGACCAGCAGGGGAAUUAUCUAGAAAACACUGAUGAGGAUCAGAUGGUGCCACUGGUGCAUUCCAACCAACAUUUGAAGAAGAAUUAACAGCAAUGCAUCUUCAUUCCAUCAUUCAUCCUGUGAAACCAGCCUUAACCUGAAUCGGAG